RNAcentral lists this ribosomal RNA (827 nucleotides) under uncultured Polaribacter sp. RNAcentral describes it as "bacterial SSU rRNA". It matches the Rfam family "Bacterial small subunit ribosomal RNA", at positions 34 to 863 of the family's 1533-position model. The record is from RNAcentral. Lineage: Bacteria; Pseudomonadati; Bacteroidota; Flavobacteriia; Flavobacteriales; Flavobacteriaceae.
CGCUAGCGGCAGGCUUAACACAUGCAAGUCGAGGGGUAACAGGGUGCUUGCACCGCUGACGACCGGCGCACGGGUGCGUAACGCGUAUAGAAUCUGCCUUUUACAGGAGAAUAGCCUUUAGAAAUGAAGAUUAAUGCUCCAUAGUAUUGCGACUUGGCAUCAAGUUGUAAUUAAAGAUUUAUCGGUAAAAGAUGACUAUGCGUCCUAUUAGCUAGAUGGUAAGGUAACGGCUUACCAUGGCAACGAUAGGUAGGGGUCCUGAGAGGGAGAUCCCCCACACUGGUACUGAGACACGGACCAGACUCCUACGGGAGGCAGCAGUGAGGAAUAUUGGGCAAUGGAGGUAACUCUGACCCAGCCAUGCCGCGUGCAGGAAGACUGCCCUAUGGGUUGUAAACUGCUUUUAUACAGGAAGAAACACUCGUACGUGUACGAGCUUGACGGUACUGUAAGAAUAAGGACCGGCUAACUCCGUGCCAGCAGCCGCGGUAAUACGGAGGGUCCGAGCGUUAUCCGGAAUCAUUGGGUUUAAAGGGUCCGCAGGCGGUCAAUUAAGUCAGAGGUGAAAUCCCAUAGCUUAACUAUGGAACUGCCUUUGAUACUGGUUGACUUGAGUCAUAUGGAAGUAGAUAGAAUGUGUAGUGUAGCGGUGAAAUGCAUAGAUAUUACACAGAAUACCGAUUGCGAAGGCAGUCUACUACGUAUGUACUGACGCUGAGGGACGAAAGCGUGGGGAGCGAACAGGAUUAGAUACCCUGGUAGUCCACGCCGUAAACGAUGGAUACUAGUUGUUGGGCAUUAGCUCAGUGACUAAGCGAAAGUGAUAA